RNAcentral lists this ribosomal RNA (468 nucleotides) under uncultured bacterium. Its description in RNAcentral is "partial 16S ribosomal RNA". It matches the Rfam family "Bacterial small subunit ribosomal RNA", at positions 28 to 507 of the family's 1533-position model. The record is from RNAcentral.
GACGAACGCUGGCGGCGUGCUUAACACAUGCAAGUCGAACGGAAAGGCCCUGCUUGUGUGGGGUGCUCGAGUGGCGAACGGGUGAGUAACACGUGAGUAACCUGCCCUUGACUUUGGGAUAACUGCAGGAGACUGGGGCUAAUACCGGAUAGGAGCGCCUGCUGCAUGGUGGGGGUUGGAAAGUUUCGGCGGUUGGGGAUGGACUCGCGGCUUAUCAGCUUGUUGGUGGGGUAGUGGCUUACCAAGGCUUUGACGGGUAGCCGGCCUGAGAGGGUGACCGGCCACAUUGGGACUGAGAUACGGACCAGACUCCUACGGGAGGCAGCAGUGGGGAAUAUUGCACAAUGGGCGGAAGCCUGAUGAAGCAACGCCGCGUGCGGGAUGAAGGCCUUCGGGUUGUAAACCGCUUUAGCCUGUGACGAAGCGUGAGUGACGGUAAUGGGUAAAGAAGCACCGGCUAACUACGUG